UGAGGAUAUGAUUCGGUCGCGCACCUGUAUCUGAUGAGAGAUCCACGGUGUGAGGCAAAGUCCGGGCUCCGCCGGAAAGGAUGCCGGGUAAUAACCGGGGCGUUUACCUGUUAAGGGCAAACGUACAGACAGUGCUACAGAAAAUUACCGCCUGCUUCUGCAGGUAAGGGUGAAAAGGCAGGGUAAGAGCCUACCGCGGUUCUGGUAACAGGAUCGGCAUAAGCAAACCUCAUCCGGAGCAAAAUCAUGCAGCAGUUUGGUUUUCCGGCCUUAUACUGCGGGUAGAUUGCUGGAGGCAUCUGGUAACAGAUGCUGCGGAUAGAUGACCGAGCUUCCUUGUGAAGUUCCAGAACCCGGCUUACCAUAUCCUUUUUUU
RNAcentral lists this RNase P RNA (376 nucleotides) under Treponema sp. RNAcentral describes it as "RNase P RNA component class A". It matches the Rfam family "Bacterial RNase P class A". From Rfam's summary of the family: Ribonuclease P (RNase P) is a ubiquitous endoribonuclease, found in archaea, bacteria and eukarya as well as chloroplasts and mitochondria. Its best characterised activity is the generation of mature 5'-ends of tRNAs by cleaving the 5'-leader elements of precursor-tRNAs. The record is from RNAcentral. Lineage: Bacteria; Pseudomonadati; Spirochaetota; Spirochaetia; Treponematales; Treponemataceae.